AAUUUUGGACAAUGGGGGCAACCCUGAUCCAGCCAUCCCGCGUGUGCGAUGAAGGCCUUCGGGUUGUAAAGCACUUUUGGCAGGGAAGAAAAGGCGCGGGCUAAUACCCGGCGCCGCUGACGGUACCUGCAGAAUAAGCACCGGCCAACUACGGCCCAGCAGCCGCCGUAAUACUUGGGGUGCAAGCGUUAAACGGAAUUACUGGGCGUAAAGCGUACGCAGGCGGUUCGGCAAGAAGGAUGCGAAAUCCCGGGGCUUAACCUCGGAACUGCAUUCUUAACUGCCGGGCUAGAGUAUGUCAGAGGGGGGUAGAAUUCCACGUGUAGCAGUGAAAUGCGUAGAGAUGUGGAGGAAUACCGAUGGCGAAGGCAGCCCCCUGGGAUGAUACUGACGCUCAUGCACGAAAGCGUGGGGAGCAAACA
RNAcentral lists this ribosomal RNA (422 nucleotides) under uncultured bacterium. RNAcentral's name for it is "partial 16S ribosomal RNA". It matches the Rfam family "Bacterial small subunit ribosomal RNA", at positions 360 to 774 of the family's 1533-position model. The record is from RNAcentral.